UACCUUUGGCACAAAAGUAGUAUGUACGGAUCUAAACAUCUGAUUGCUAGUGUCUUGAGAGAGAAAAAAAUCUUCAAUUUUAUAAUCUUCUAAUCCAUUCAUUUCUAUAAACAACUCAUUUGCAGGUCUGACGGAGACACAUGGAAGAGGGAAGUGUGCUUCCUUGUGUCCCAUUCCGGAUCCAAGGCAGACUUUGUCAUCUUUGUGACUCACCUAAAUUUGGUCCAGAUAUCUAACCACAAGCAGGAAGCAAUUCAGGGAUCUACACAUAAGAUCCAAUCCCUGGGAGGAACUUCAUCCCCGACUCUGCCUCAGUACAUAGAUCACCCCUCAUCUGUCUCAAUGUUGACAGGACACUGUUCUAGUGACUACAGCAGCUAUAGGAAAAGAAAAGCCCAUGAGGUUCUUCAGAUGACGAAGACCUGAAAUACUUGGGGAAUAGGGCUGGAGAGUCUAGAAUCGAGAGCCCACACCCGGAAAUGAGCUAUCAAUGCUGCAGAAACCAGAGAAGGCAGAGGGCUAUGGGUGUCAGUGUUCUAGGUCAGAAUCAUAGAAGGACAGAUCCCAUAGUCAUGCACUGAAGAGGGAGAAGCCUGGAGUAUCUAAGGCAAAGCUCAGAGAGAAGCCCACUCUUGUAUGAACGAGGAGAGUGUGACCAGCCUCAAGGCAGUGGGAAGGCAGGACCAAGGUGGAAGAGCACUGAUGUUCUAGUACGGGAGGGCCUUGAUGACUAAACCAAAGGCACUAAGACUGAUGCCAUCAGACACACAGUGCUGGCAACUGUUGCAUCAACAAAUGAGAGAUCCAUCAGCCCCGAGAGCUAGGUGUUCCUUUUAUUGGCAGGCUGCAGCCUUCACAUGUAUGUCGUGGGGAAGGGGCUGGAGGCUGACAAAACAGCUAUGAGGUUGCCGUAGUAAUUAAGGUGCAAGAUGCAGGGUUUUCAACCAGAGCGCUGCAAUGAGAACAACAGAAGAAGCAAGAGCAAUUUCAAAGGGAGAACUGAUAGCACUUGGUGAGCAUUUAAAGACAAGGAAUUGAAGAAAGACGAGAAGAAUCCAAAUCAAUGCCUAGACUUUUGGAAUAGAGUGGUACAAUUUACCAGAUGGUUCCAUUUAACCUCAUGAAGCAUGGCAGCACCAUCUCCUUUCCUUUGCCAUAAAAGCAUCAUGCUUGAUCCCUGCCUGUGUUUCCCCAGCGCCGUACGGGUAUUUCCAAGACUCUAAGAAAAACUCUGCUGACUCCUGGCUUAGAAGAAGUGGCACACAAUGGAGGAAUAGUGCUUUUGAUUCUUUGGAUUGAAUCCAGGAUAUCUUCCAGGCUGAGUUCUACUGUGUUUGCAUCUUCUAAAGACAGGAUUCGCUGGCCUUGUGGAGCAGGCAGGCGGAUCAUUCCGCUUAUAAGCAUUUGGAUUUAAAAAUGAAGAUGCACUCUCUUAUUUCAGAGGCCCCAUUAAUUUUGAGAUGCUCAGCAUGGGCAUGAUUGUAAUCCAGUUGCACACUGAGCUCAGAAGAUUGCGCCACUGAAAUAUAGUAAAAAUGUCCGUACUUCUGGUCCUUUGUGGUCAUGGGUAAGUCAUUUGACCUUUCUGUGACUUAGUGCCAUCAUCUAUAAAUUGGUUAUACCAGGCUUUCAAGUAUCUUUCAUUUCUUUUAAGGAUCAGAGCUAAUGUAUCUGUGAAUA
Molecule: long non-coding RNA, 1680 nt
Organism: Canis lupus familiaris (dog)
Lineage: Eukaryota; Metazoa; Chordata; Mammalia; Carnivora; Canidae
Exons: 4
Source: RefSeq, a predicted model, not a curated record